This 72-nucleotide transfer RNA is filed under the name Penaeus japonicus. RNAcentral's name for it is "tRNA-Pro". It matches the Rfam family "tRNA". Rfam says of the family: Transfer RNA (tRNA) molecules are approximately 80 nucleotides in length. Their secondary structure includes four short double-helical elements and three loops (D, anti-codon, and T loops). Further hydrogen bonds mediate the characteristic L-shaped molecular structure. tRNAs have two regions of fundamental functional importance: the anti-codon, which is responsible for specific mRNA codon recognition, and the 3' end, to which the tRNAs corresponding amino acid is attached (by aminoacyl-tRNA synthetases). tRNAs cope with the degeneracy of the genetic code in two manners: having more than one tRNA (with a specific anti-codon) for a particular amino acid; and 'wobble' base-pairing, i.e. permitting non-standard base-pairing at the 3rd anti-codon position. Lineage: Eukaryota; Metazoa; Arthropoda; Malacostraca; Decapoda; Penaeidae. The record is from RNAcentral.
GGCCUGAUGGUCUAGGGGUAUGAUUCUCGCUUUGGGUGCGAGAGGUCCCGGGUUCAAAUCCCGGUUAGGCCC